CAGGGAGACAACAAAAUGUUUAAUAUUAUUAUUUUGUCACCUUAGGUCGAUCGGUAUCUCACGUUCUUAAUUUAUUAAGAAUUUCAUUUCCUAAGUUUUUCUAGGUCACACCCAUUAUUUUUCCUGGGCCAUUAGCUCAGGUGGUUAGAGCGCACCCCUGAUAAGGGUGAGGUCCCUGGUUCAAGUCCAGGAUGGCCCAUAUCUCUAUGUUGGGGGUAUAGCUCAGUUGGUAGAGCGCCUGCUUUGCAAGCAGGAUGUCAGCGGUUCGAGUCCGCUUACCUCCACUGAUUACCACCUCUUCCAUAAUCUGUAGAAAGGAAAUGUUUUGAGUUGUGAUCAAAUUCUGAACGAAUCUAGCUUCCUAAUGAAAUUAUUAAGAUGCUGGACUCAUUGAAUUAAAUUCAUUGUUUUCAGAGAACCUUGACAACUGCAUAGAUUAUUUUUAAAGACAAUAAGCAUCUUUAAUGAUGCAGAUUUAUUAUUUGUGCAAAUGCAUUAAUAACAAUUCUAUUAAGCUGAUGCUUCAAUUUUGAAGUUAUU
Molecule: transfer RNA, 540 nt
Filed under: uncultured Prochlorococcus sp.
Lineage: Bacteria; Bacillati; Cyanobacteriota; Cyanophyceae; Synechococcales; Prochlorococcaceae
Description: partial 16S-23S ribosomal RNA intergenic spacer
Rfam family: tRNA (bases 212-284)
Source: RNAcentral